GUUGUGUUCUGCCUUUAUAUAUAAAGCCUAGGGGAACAAUUUUAAGACUUUUUUAAGCUGUUCUAAGUUGGAUGUUAGUAUAAAGCAAGGUGUGUUAUAAUUAAAGUUAAAAUGGUCGAAAAAGGUGUUUGGGACAGACGUUUCGGGAAGACUCAUUGGUCUGCAAGCAAUAAAAGGGUCCUGGGGUUGAAGACUUCAAAGCAAAAGGACCCCAGGACCGAAGACCAAAGCUCUCAAAGGACAAGUACCAAAGGCAAAGGUAGGUAACUCAUUUAAUAUAUGCAUCCUUGUUUUCUGCUUGGAAGGAAAUUGAAAACAAAUGUUUAAAUGUGGUAAAAUGUAUUAUGAGCUUAUAGUAGCUAAUCUUUGACUUCCUCCUUAAGCUAACACUCCAAUCAUUUGAGCAUGGUUUAGCAUGUC
Molecule: long non-coding RNA, 420 nt
Organism: Protopterus annectens (West African lungfish)
Lineage: Eukaryota; Metazoa; Chordata; Ceratodontiformes; Protopteridae
Exons: 3
Source: RefSeq, a predicted model, not a curated record